UACGGAGGACGCGAGCGUUAUCCGGAUUUAUUGGGUUUAAAGGGUGCGUAGGCGGACGCUUAAGUCAGCGGUAAAAUUGCGGGGCUCAACCUCGUCGAGCCGUUGAAACUGGGUGUCCUGAGUGGGCGAGAAGUACGCGGAAUGCGUGGUGUAGCGGUGAAAUGCAUAGAUAUCACGCAGAACUCCGAUUGCGAAGGCAGCGUACCGGCGCCCAACUGACGCUGAAGCACGAAGGCGUGGGUAUCGAACAGG
This 252-nucleotide ribosomal RNA is filed under the name uncultured bacterium. Its description in RNAcentral is "partial 16S ribosomal RNA". It matches the Rfam family "Bacterial small subunit ribosomal RNA", at positions 524 to 776 of the family's 1533-position model. The record is from RNAcentral.